This is a long non-coding RNA of Peromyscus maniculatus bairdii (prairie deer mouse), 586 nucleotides long. RefSeq lists it as uncharacterized. Lineage: Eukaryota; Metazoa; Chordata; Mammalia; Rodentia; Cricetidae. The record is from RefSeq and is a predicted model, not a curated record.
AAACACUCGCCAAGGUGGGAUUCCAAGGCUAUGACUCACGGCGGCUGGCGGGGCCGCACUCCAGCCCGCAGCUGCCAGGGUCCUUCGCCGAGCCGCGGCCGCCUGCGCCGUGCGCGCCGCUGGGGCCAGGGUGGACCUUGGUGCCCCGUUCCUGCGGCCAGGCGCUCGGGAAAGUUGCGGGGCCAAGGAGGCUGGCAGAGGCGGGGGCGUGGGCCUCGUAGCCCGAGGGAAGCACUUGGAGAUGAGAAACAGAUGUCGGAGCUGGACUGAGCCUUUGCGCUCCCCCGCCCUCCCGGUCCUUUCCCCUGCAUCUCGGGUGUAACAAGGCAGCACUCGUCCUGCCUCCACGUGAACUGGCAGCUCCCGGGUGAGGAUCCCCGCGGGGAAAACCUCCAAGAAAAACAAAAACAGAACUAGUAAAGAAGCUUGCCCUUGGUGGAGAGGCUAGGGCAGAAGCCGGAGUCACUUUAUUUUGCAAAUAGUGAUUCCCCCACCCCCUUCUUGUGGUGGAUUCAAUUAGAGCUGGCUUUUGUGUGGGGUUUUGUUGUUGUUUUGUUUUUGAAACAGGGUCUCACUGUGUAAACCA